Molecule: ribosomal RNA, 253 nt
Filed under: uncultured bacterium
Lineage: Bacteria
Description: partial 16S ribosomal RNA
Rfam family: Bacterial small subunit ribosomal RNA
Source: RNAcentral
UACGUAGGGUCCGAGCGUUGUCCGGAUUUAUUGGGCGUAAAGAGCUCGUAGGCGGCUUGUCGCGUCGACUGUGAAAUCCCGCGGCUCAACCGCGGGUCUGCAGUCGAUACGGGCAGGCUAGAGUUCGGUAGGGGAGACUGGAAUUCCUGGUGUAGCGGUGAAAUGCGCAGAUAUCAGGAGGAACACCGAUGGCGAAGGCAGGUCUCUGGGCCGAUACUGACGCUGAGGAGCGAAAGCGUGGGGAGCGAACAGG